This is a long non-coding RNA of Homo sapiens (human), 2325 nucleotides long. Ensembl annotates it as long intergenic non-protein coding RNA 2693. The record is from Ensembl. NCBI's taxonomy places the organism in Eukaryota, Metazoa, Chordata, Mammalia, Primates, Hominidae.
GCGCCCGGCCGGCGUGGCUGGCUGUUUGAGGACUGCGCGCGGAGCUCCGUGGCGGGUGUCUGAAGUCGUGAGUUUACUGCUUGUAAGGAACAUAGCGAUCACUGGGAACCUGGAAGUAGAGACUCCUUUCUGCCAUCCAUCCGUCCCUCGGGCUGCUGCGAAUCCCCCCGCCGGCCUCCAGGACCCCGGGCUGACUGAACGCCCGCACCGGUCCCGCCGCCCCAGGGCCCGCUACGCGCCCGGCAUAAUGGGAGAAAAAUCACGACGGAAAGGCCCAGCCCCUCGCCAUGCAGACGGGAAGCUUGGCCGCACGUGUGAUCACCCUUACGCCCCUUGGAGUUUCACCCCCUCUUCGCGGGCUCCAACAGCCUGGGUCAGGCCUCCUUGUCCUGUGUGGGCCUCUCGGCUGCAAGAACACAGUCCCGAGCCCCGGCGAGCCCGCGCGCCUCCCACCCGCCGUGCACAGGCUGCACUUUACGCCCCAGCACUGCGCCUGCGGGACCAUCUGGAUCGCUUUUCCAUUCUGAUGACGUCCUGUACUUCGUGGCUGCAGGCUCCUCAAGCCCCAGGUCUGUGCAGAGACGAGCAAAGCAGCAGAAUAUCCGUGCCACAGCUUUCUGGAGCACCCAUUUUACUACCAGAUUUGGAAGGAACGAAGUUAAGUAAUUUCCAAGAAUCAUCUCCCCUGCCCCACAAACAUGAAAGAAAAGACAAGAGAAGCACCCCAGAAGAGGAGGGGAGAAGUGCCCCAGAAAAAAUCAUCCAGUCUCUGAAGCUUUGCCCAGAAACUAUGAAAAUACAUUGCAAGAAUGCAACAUGCAGCACAGCAGAGAAGGGGCUGUCUGCAAAGAUAAAGGGCUGGAGGGAAGUUUUCUAAGGUUGUGCUGGACGGCGCUAUGUGCAGUCUCCACCUCCAAAACAAGACUCAGAAAAAGGUGUGAAGCUCAAGUCGGAUGACCAUGACCCACGCGUGGCCACGGACGGGCCCAUGCUACCCUUCGCAGUCCUCCUGGAACAGCCGGGCCGGUCCUCACCUCCGGGUCGGGGCUUGGAGAUAAUGGGUGUAAUGGAAGGCCUGAGGACCGGGCCCCACGCCAGUCAGCGUCCGGGCGGGAUACCCCAUCCCCCGUUCACACUCUCGGAAGGCCCAGCGAUUCCCGCGUGUACUAAUUGACCCGCUCAGGCCACAGCACUCCGAGCUCAAGAGCGCGCCUACAACGCUGACCCUCAGGUUUAAUCUCCGACGAAAGGACGAAGAGUACACCCAGCAAAGCCGGGCUCAUCCUGCCAGCGCUGCCAGUCCCCUGGAACUCUGCACCGCGCCCUGUGGCCAAAUCCCCUUUCUUGCCGGCUUCGCCAGAGCGCCGGAGAGAAAACCUUAACAGUGCAGCCAGGUGGCGCCCGACAGCCGGCGCCAGCGGCCGCGGAUCGGAUCCGCAUCUCCGGCGGGCGAGGCCUCUCCUAGUCCCUGACCAACUGGGAUCGCGUUUCUCGGCCUGGGGCGGGUGAAGGAGCUCCCAGUUGGCACCGCCUGGAAUGGCGCGACCCCGCAGCCGAAGGAGACUUGAAAAUUUUUCCUAACUACCGUUCUGCUCCGAGUGACUGCUACCUGCGAGGACAGACAGCCCACGCGGCUCCGGGCCGGGCGAUCUUCCGCGGGAACCGGGAACGUUUCCGAAGACCCCCGCAGGCCGGCGCCCUGCCUCGGCUUCCCAGCGCAGCGGGGUCCCGGGCUCCUCGCGGAUUAGAAAGUUUUGCUGGGCUCUGGCGGCGGGAGAGACAGUGAAGUUGAAACCGUGAAAGGGAGAACAUGGGUGAAUCGCUUUUAUUCUGUCUUUUCGGAAUGGGGAAGCCUUUCUAAAGCAUUAAAUAAACCCAGAAGCCAUCAAGGAAAUGAUUGAUCGGCUUGACAACAUAAAGUUUGAACAAAAUACACAAGCAAAGUCAAAAGAUAACAAAUGAGUGUGGGGAUCGCUUAUGCAUAAGAUAAGAAUAUUGAUUUCAUUCACAGUAGCCAAGAUACGGAAGCAACCUAGCCAAGAUAUGGAAGCAUCUACUAGUGGCUGAACGGAUAAAGAAAAUGUGGUGUAUGUACACCACGGGGUACUGUCCCGCCUUUGAAUAAAAGGAAAUCCUGCCAUUGGCGACAACAUGGAUGAACGUGGAGGUCAUUGUACUAAGAAAAGUAAGCCAGGCACAGAAACAAAUACCACCUGGUCUCUCCUGUAUGUGGAAUCUGAAAAUAGUUGAACUCAUAGAAACGGAGAGUAGAACGGUGGCUACUUGAGGCCGGGGGAAGGGCAGGAGGGGGAAGAUGUUAGUCAA